Molecule: ribosomal RNA, 439 nt
Filed under: uncultured bacterium
Lineage: Bacteria
Description: partial 16S ribosomal RNA
Rfam family: Bacterial small subunit ribosomal RNA
Source: RNAcentral
CUACGGGACGCUGCAGUGAGGAAUAUUGCACAAUGGGGGGAACCCUGAUGCAGCAACGCCGCGUGGAGGAUGACGCAUUUCGGUGUGUAAACUCCUUUUAUAUGUCAAGAAAAUGACGGUAGCAUAUGAAUAAGCACCGGCUAACUCCGUGCCAGCAGCCGCGGUAAUACGGAGGGUGCAAACGUUACUCGGAAUCACUGGGCGUAAAGGACGCGUAGGCGGGUUGGAAAGUCAGGUGUGAAAUCCUACAGCUUAACUGUAGAACUGCACUUGAAACUUCUAAUCUAGAGUAUGGGAGGGGGAGAUGGAAUUAGUGGUGUAGGGGUAAAAUCCGUAGAUAUCACUAGGAAUACCUAAAGCGAAGGCGAUCUCCUGGAACAUUACUGACGCUAAGGCGUGAAAGCGUGGGGAGCAGACAGGAUUAGAUACCCUAGUAGUC